Molecule: long non-coding RNA, 238 nt
Organism: Arabidopsis thaliana (thale cress)
Lineage: Eukaryota; Viridiplantae; Streptophyta; Magnoliopsida; Brassicales; Brassicaceae
Product: other RNA
Exons: 1
Source: RefSeq
UUCUCAUUGAGUGGGCUCUCAGCUCUAGGCCUCUCGUUCAACCUCCUGAGUUCAAAUUAGUUCUUUGUUGUUGGGCUAUAUUGCCUUCGAUAAUUGUGGGCUUUCUGGUAACAAAUAGGUAUGGUGGUGGGUAACUCCUACUAGCAACGUACCAGCAUUUUAAUUUCGGUAAUAGCCAAAUUUUACAAAUUUAUACGCAAAGUUAUCUUAAUUGUCUGGAGAUGGCACACAAGAGAUG